AGAGUAUGAUCCUGGCUCAGAUUGAACGCUGGCGGCAGGCCUAACACAUGCAAGUCGAGCGGAUGAGGGGAGCUUGCUCCCGGAUUUAGCGGCGGACGGGUGAGUAAUGCCUAGGAAUCUGCCUGGUAGUGGGGGACAACGACUCGAAAGGGUCGCUAAUACCGCAUACGUCCUACGGGAGAAAGUGGGGGAUCUUCGGACCUCACGCUAUCAGAUGAGCCUAGGUCGGAUUAGCUAGUAGGUGAGGUAAUGGCUCACCUAGGCAACGAUCCGUAACUGGUCUGAGAGGAUGAUCAGUCACACUGGAACUGAGACACGGUCCAGACUCCUACGGGAGGCAGCAGUGGGGAAUAUUGGACAAUGGGCGAAAGCCUGAUCCAGCCAUGCCGCGUGUGUGAAGAAGGUCUUCGGAUUGUAAAGCACUUUAAGUUGGGAGGAAGGGUUGUAGUUUAAUACGCUGCAAUCUUGACGUUACCAACAGAAUAAGCACCGGCUAACUCUGUGCCAGCAGCCGCGGUAAUACAGAGGGUGCAAGCGUUAAUCGGAAUUACUGGGCGUAAAGCGCGCGUAGGCGGCUUGAUAAGAUGGGUGUGAAAUCCC
RNAcentral lists this ribosomal RNA (600 nucleotides) under uncultured marine bacterium. RNAcentral describes it as "bacterial SSU rRNA". It matches the Rfam family "Bacterial small subunit ribosomal RNA", at positions 8 to 603 of the family's 1533-position model. The record is from RNAcentral.